GAUAAACGCUGGCGGCGUGCUUAACACAUGCAAGUCGAACGAAGUUUUUCCUUCGGGCGCACCUUAGUGGCGGAUGGGUGAGUAACGCGUGGGUAACCUGCCCUGUACAGGGGGACAACAGCUGGAAACGGCUGCUAAUACCGCAUAAGCCCUUAGCACUGCAUGGUGCAUAGGGAAAAGGAGCAAUCCGGUACAGGAUGGACCCGCGUCUGAUUAGCCAGCUGGCAGGGUAACGGCCUACCAAAGCGACGAUCAGUAGCCGAUCUGAGAGGAUGUACGGCCACAUUGGGACUGAGACACGGCCCAGACUCCUACGGGAGGCAGCAGUGGGGAAUAUUGCACAAUGGAGGAAACUCUGAUGCAGCGACGCCGCGUGAGUGAAGAAGUAUUUCGGGAUGUAAAGCUCUAUCAGCAGGGAAGAAAAUGACGGUACCUGACUAAGAAGCACCGGCUAAAUACGUG
Molecule: ribosomal RNA, 462 nt
Filed under: uncultured bacterium
Lineage: Bacteria
Description: partial 16S ribosomal RNA
Rfam family: Bacterial small subunit ribosomal RNA
Source: RNAcentral